Molecule: ribosomal RNA, 491 nt
Filed under: uncultured bacterium
Lineage: Bacteria
Description: partial 16S ribosomal RNA
Rfam family: Bacterial small subunit ribosomal RNA
Source: RNAcentral
GAUGAACGCUGGCGGCGUGCUUAAUACGUGCAAGUCGAACGCAGAAACGAAGAGUUUGCUGCUUAGACGUUAGGCGCGGGGGGGUGAGUAACACGAGGAUCCCCUCCCCUUAUUCGUGGGAUAACUCGGAGACACGGGCGCUCAUAUGCGAUAAACUAUUGACCGGAAGGGUUCAGGAGUAAAGGGCGGUUUUGCUGUCGCAUGUGCUCGUGUCCGAGUAGCUUGUUGGAGUGGUGAAGGCUUAGCAAGGCUACGACGCGUAGCCGGGCUGAGAGGGUGAGCGGCCACACUGGAACUGAGACACGGUCAAGACUCCUACGGGAGGAAGCAGUGGGGAAUCUUGGGCAAUGGGCGAAAGCCUGACGGAGCAACGCCGCGUGGGUGAGGAAGGUCUUCGGGUCGUAAAGCUCUGUUAUUAGGGAAGAACAGAUGUGGAAGUAACUAUGGACGUCUUGACGGUACCUAAUCAAAAAGCCACGGCUAACUACGUG